Molecule: non-coding RNA, 75 nt
Organism: Myotis lucifugus (little brown bat)
Lineage: Eukaryota; Metazoa; Chordata; Mammalia; Chiroptera; Vespertilionidae
Source: Rfam
GGUGGUUCUUGGGUAAUGCACCCCAGAAUUGAGCUCCCUCCUCUCUGGUUCUGGGUGCGUCACCCGAAAACCACA